GAUGAACGCUGGCGGCGUGCCUAAUACAUGCAAGUCGAGCGAACAGACGAGGAGCUUGCUCCUCUGACGUUAGCGGCGGACGGGUGAGUAACACGUGGAUAACCUACCUAUAAGACUGGGAUAACUUCGGGAAACCGGAGCUAAUACCGGAUAAUAUAUUGAACCGCAUGGUUCAAUAGUGAAAGACGGUUUUGCUGUCACUUAUAGAUGGAUCCGCGCCGCAUUAGCUAGUUGGUAAGGUAACGGCUUACCAAGGCGACGAUGCGUAGCCGACCUGAGAGGGUGAUCGGCCACACUGGAACUGAGACACGGUCCAGGCUCCUACGGGAGGCAGCAGUAGGGAAUCUUCCGCAAUGGGCGAAAGCCUGACGGAGCAACGCCGCGUGAGUGAUGAAGGUCUUCGGAUCGUAAAACGCUGUUAUUAGGGAAGAACAAAUGUGUAAGUAACUAUGCACGUCUGGACGGUACCUAAUCAGAAAGCCACGGCUAACUACGU
Molecule: ribosomal RNA, 496 nt
Filed under: uncultured bacterium
Lineage: Bacteria
Description: partial 16S ribosomal RNA
Rfam family: Bacterial small subunit ribosomal RNA
Source: RNAcentral